RNAcentral lists this long non-coding RNA (332 nucleotides) under Manihot esculenta (cassava). RNAcentral describes it as "long non-coding RNA (MESC_LNC011489)". Lineage: Eukaryota; Viridiplantae; Streptophyta; Magnoliopsida; Malpighiales; Euphorbiaceae. The record is from RNAcentral.
AUCGUUGUUAGAACUUGAUUGAGUACUGUAUGGAUCUUGAGGUGUCAAAUACUAGUGACUAUAAUGUGCUUUGUCAACUGAAGAUGAUAGCAGAAAUAGACUCAAUCCUAAGAAGAGGAAGUAUGGCCUUCAUGAUGAAGCUACUCAUGGCUUCCUGCCAAACAAGGAGACCGGGUCAAACAAAUUUCAAGAAAGCCAAUCAGUCCCGCAAAGGGUAAUGGAGUUUGGAGCUCAAGUGUUAUUGAUAACAGUUUCUUGACCAACUAUGAUAUGCCUUCUCCUUUUGAUUUUCAGAGUUUUGAUCCAGAAGCUGUACAAGAACCAUAAAUGAC